Non-coding RNA from Salmo salar (Atlantic salmon), 54 nucleotides. Lineage: Eukaryota; Metazoa; Chordata; Actinopteri; Salmoniformes; Salmonidae. The record is from Rfam.
GAAUGUACAUACUGUAAGCUGCUCUGGAUAAGAGCAUCUGCUAAAUGACUAAAA